AGUGGGGAAUAUUGGACAAUGGGCGAAAGCCUGAUCCAGCCAUGCCGCGUGAGUGAUGAAGGCCUUAGGGUUGUAAAGCUCUUUCAGUGGGGAAGAUAAUGACGGUACCCACAGAAGAAGCCCCGGCUAACUUCGUGCCAGCAGCCGCGGUAAUACGAAGGGGGCUAGCGUUGUUCGGAUUUACUGGGCGUAAAGCGCACGUAGGCGGAUCGUUAAGUCGGGGGUGAAAUCCUGGAGCUCAACUCCAGAACUGCCUUCGAUACUGGCGAUCUUUGAGUCCGGAAGAGGUGAGUGGAACUCCUAGUGUAGAGGUGAAAUUCGUAGAUAUUAGGAAGAACACCAGUGGCGAAGGCGGCUCACUGGCCCGGUACUGACGCUGAUAUGCGAAAGCGUGGGGAGCAAA
This 403-nucleotide ribosomal RNA is filed under the name uncultured Devosia sp. RNAcentral describes it as "bacterial SSU rRNA". It matches the Rfam family "Bacterial small subunit ribosomal RNA", at positions 353 to 772 of the family's 1533-position model. Lineage: Bacteria; Pseudomonadati; Pseudomonadota; Alphaproteobacteria; Hyphomicrobiales; Devosiaceae. The record is from RNAcentral.